Molecule: ribosomal RNA, 400 nt
Filed under: Odontotermes gurdaspurensis
Lineage: Eukaryota; Metazoa; Arthropoda; Insecta; Blattodea; Termitidae
Description: partial 12S ribosomal RNA
Source: RNAcentral
CUGAGUAGUAUUAGUUGUGUUCUUGAAACUUAAAGAAUUUGGCGGUAUCCUACUCCGUUCAGAGGAAUCUGUCUCGUUAUCGAUAGUCCGCGUUGGACCUUGCUUAGGGUUAAUUUUGGUUUGUAUACCGCCGUUUAUUGAUUAUCUUUUUAGAGUAUCUUGAAUUUUCUGGUUUCUUUAAUUUGAUUUAUUGCAGGUCAAGGUGCAGCUUUUUCUAAGUGUAAUGAUGGAUUACAGUGGUAUGUGUUGUUUGGAUUGUUUGUUUAAAUAUGGGCAUGAAAUUGGAUUUGGUUGUAAUGUUUUGUAGAUUGUUUUCAUGAUAGUUGGUUCUAGGAUAUGUACACAUCGCCCGUCGCUCUCAUUUAAGUUUUUGAUGAGAUAUCGAAAACCCAUAAAAAAA